Molecule: non-coding RNA, 1904 nt
Organism: Pelobates cultripes (western spadefoot toad)
Lineage: Eukaryota; Metazoa; Chordata; Amphibia; Anura; Pelobatidae
Source: the annotation of a GenBank genome assembly
UUAUAUUUCUCAUUCCCUUGUUGCUAUUUCUUAAAAAAACCAAAAAAAACCAUUUCUAUUCCUUUCCAUUAGUCACAUUUUAUAUCUCUCUUAUCUUGAUAAUCCUUAAUUUAGUAUUAAAGCCUUCUCUUGUACCCAGAUAUUAGCAGAACCAACAUUAUCAAAAAAUAUGUUUUUUGCUUCAUAUCCCACUAUGAGUCUCGCUGGGAAGCCCCAGUGAUAAUUAAUAAAACGUUGUUUUUUUCUUAAUAUCCCGGUGUGAAUACACGUCUUUUCUAUCUUGUUUCAUAUGAUAAGUCUGCGAAGACCUUAAGGCUUCCUUGCCUUGAUGCCCUCUUACUUCUUCUCUAAACAAAUAGGAGUUACAACAUAUCAUUUCAUCCCUUGGAGUUUCUGGAGUCAGGCUGCUUGUUUUUGGGAUUCUAUGGUAUCUUUCCACAAAUUUGUAUUUAUCAUCCAUGUGGAUUCCCAUCUCUGAGAAAUAAGAUUUUAGAAAAUCCUGCAAUUUAUCUUGGCUUAUAUUUUCUGGCAUAUUCCUUAUCCUCAAAUUCUUUUGCCUGGAUCGAUCUUCUAAAUUAAUCAUUUCCAACUCAAUUUCUGUUUUUCUUGUUAAUAUUUAAUCAAAAUUUCUGUGUGGUCCAAUUUUUCUUCAACCAAUUUAAUCUAAUGUCCAAUUUCCUUUAUAUCCCUUUUUAAGUCAUAAUUGUUAUUAGAGUUGUUGAUCAAGGCAGCUUUUAAGAAAGACCGGCGUUACCGGUGAAGGUUCAUUCACUUUCGCAAUCUCCGUCUCAGCUGUUUUUUCUCCUCAUUAGUGGGGCUGGGUUCCUUUGGAGGCAUUUCUGUUAAGGAUUUAUCAGUUUGGGGUAUGAAGAAAUUUGAUAAUCUCUUUUCUAUUUUAUGUUCCCUUCUUUCUCCCUUGUCCUUAUUCUCCUUUUCUUUGGUUAAAUGGGCUUCUGUUCUUGGUUUCUCCUAGAUGAGACACCUUUAUUUUGAUUUACAAGUGGAGCAAAUGGCUGAGAGUAAUGAGCCCCCAAAAUGAGGUAAUAAACUUCAAGAGCCCUUAUGCUCGAUUUCAUUUCCCUAUUUGGCUCCUAUCUCUGUCUCCAGUAUCUCUUUAAGGUGUAGAGAAUGUAGCCAUAUAUAAUAACAGGUAGGAAAGGGAGCAGUAAGUAUCCUGUAUGAGUGAUAGGUGAUAACUCACAGGAAUCGCAAGCCUUUUUGCCUACUUUGACUCUUAUUGUUUUAUGUCCAGACUGUCACUUUAAGAGGGGAUGUAGGAUAAAUAUGUGACGAAGACGCCAAUAAUAAGUAACAGCCCUGGAUUGGCGUUUAUAAGUAACAGCUUUUCCUGUUCAUCCCAGCUGUUUAGAAAGGUAUAAGUAAUCAAGGGCUAAUUUUCACUCACGUUUUACUGUAUAUGUUUAAAUCCUCUGAGUAUCCAAUCUCUGUGGGGUUACCUCUCUAUGCCUCACCAACCCUCUCACACUUCAAAUUUUCACUUUUUGGAGCGUGGUGGUUCUUUUUUCCUUCUCCUUUCUUCCCCCUCCUCUCCUCCUCCCUCCUCUCCUCCUCCCUCCUCCUUCUCUCCUUUCCCUUCGGUGCACCAAUGUCUCUCUCGUACCCUCGGUGAAUUAUAAUUUCAAGUUAACUUGUAUCUCAUUAUUUUGUAACCAAUUCUGAGGUACCAUAUCUCUUUAAGUAGAAUGUGAGAUGGACGAAUGCUAAGAAGCGAGUAGUAAAUAGCAAGCCUUUAUAGAGGUUUUUGUAAAUAGUAAAACAUAAUAUUCACUCCUAUAGUUUUAGAAAUGUGAAUACACAAGGGCUAGUUCUCACCCAUCUUCGCCGUGUUUAAUUAUAGCCUCUGGCUUUCCGUUCUCAGCGGGGUUUCCUCUUUAUGCCUUGCC